This 774-nucleotide ribosomal RNA is filed under the name uncultured Neocallimastigales. RNAcentral describes it as "partial large subunit ribosomal RNA". It matches the Rfam family "Eukaryotic large subunit ribosomal RNA", at positions 24 to 639 of the family's 3401-position model. The record is from RNAcentral. Lineage: Eukaryota; Fungi; Neocallimastigomycota; Neocallimastigomycetes; Neocallimastigales.
UAUCUCUGUAGAGUCUGCAUAUCAAUAAGCGGAGGAAAAGAAACUAACUAGGAUUCCCUCAGUAACGGCGAGUGAAGCGGGAAGAGCUCAAAUUUGAAAUCUUCAAGGUUCUACCUUGACGAAUUGUAGUUUAAAGAAGUGUUUUCUGUUGGAGUUUUGGUAAAAGUUCUUUGGAACAGGACAUCAUAGAGGGUGAGAAUCCCGUAUUUGACCAUUAUUUCCAGCUUUGUGAUACACUUUCAAAGAGUCGGAUUGUUUGGGAAUGCAGUCCAAAAUGGGUGGUAAAUUUCAUCUAAAGCUAAAUACUGGCGAGAGACCGAUAGCGAACAAGUACCGUGAGGGAAAGAUGAAAAGAACUUUGAAAAGAGAGUUAAACAGUACGUGAAAUUGUCAAAAGGGAAGCGUUUGACACCAGUGUUGUUUUUCUGAAAAUCAAUUAAAGAACUGUUUAUGCUAAGCUGUUUAGACUUUAUCAGCUAUCUGUUUAGUUUUGAGCUUUUCUUUAAUGCACUUUUCAGUUAACAAGUCAACAUCAAUUUCUUUUGCUGUAAAAAAGCUUGAGGAAGGUGGCUUGAGAUUCGUCUUAAGUGUUUAUAGCCUCUUGCCUAUGCAGUCGGAGAGAUUGAGGUCUGCAGCGUAGAUCCUUCGGGGCUAGAUACAUUUGUGCUAAGUUAUAGCAUUUAUAGACAACUUGUUGACUAUGAUUAGUCAUUGUAGCUUACUCGCUUAUGUUAUUUUACCUACGCUUAGGAUGUUGACGAUCAGCUGAGCGCG